UCUCUUCUUUCUUCUUCACCUCAAAUCGAAUCGAACACAUAAACCCAUCUCCUUCCCAGUUCUAACCCUAGACCUUAAUCUUCUCGAAUUCAUGUUCAUCUUUCAAGGUCUCCGUUCAAACCCUUUACUCAGUUGCUUCGUUUAAACCCUCAUAGUCUAAUUCCAGCAAAUCUGAUGGAGAAGUUUUGAAUUAACGUCCAAUCUUAGUGAUUGUUGGAUCUCACAAGCCAAGUGAUAAGGCGCCUACAGCAGUAAAGAUUCUUUGUUGAGGUUCACACAGCUCCUGGUGGUGGAUCUUGCUACUUUGUAGAGGAUGACAAGUAGUGAUGUAGAGGAUGAAAAGGAAAUUGAAUGGGAUUAAGGUGGUUUAAAUUGUUGUUUGUUUCAUCUGCUGAUUUGGAUUGGUUUUGCCCUUCAUGUCUGAAUCUCUUUGUUUUCUAGCUUGUGAACAUGCAUAACAUUCUCUGGUUCAUAUUUGAGUUGCUUGUAAAAAAAAUUCUACGGUAGUAAGUGUUUAUCAAAGUGAUUGGCCAGUUUGCUUAAUUUUUUUGAAUGUAAGAUCUGAUCGAUAUAUUCUUUAAAUGUGAUA
Molecule: long non-coding RNA, 589 nt
Organism: Papaver somniferum (opium poppy)
Lineage: Eukaryota; Viridiplantae; Streptophyta; Magnoliopsida; Ranunculales; Papaveraceae
Exons: 3
Source: RefSeq, a predicted model, not a curated record